GAGUUUGAUCGUGGCUCAAGAUUGAACGCUGGCGGCAUGCCUUACACAUGCAAGUCGAAACGGCAGCAUGAUCUAGCUUGCUAGAUUGAUGGCGAGUGGCGAACGGGUGAGUAAUACAUCGGAACGUGCCCUGUAGUGGGGAUAACUAGUCGAAAGAUUAGCUAAUACCGCAAUACGACCUGAGGGUGAAAGUGGGGGACCGCAAGGCCUCAUGCUAUAGGAGCGGCCGAUGUCUGAUUAGCUAGUUGGUGGGUAAAGGCCCACCAAGGCGACGAUCAGUAGCUGGUCUGAGAGGACGAUCAGCCACACUGGGACUGAGACACGGCCCAGACUCUACGGGAGGCAGCAGUGGGGAAUUUGGACAAUGGGCGAAGACCUGAUCCAGCAAUG
Molecule: ribosomal RNA, 390 nt
Filed under: uncultured microorganism
Description: bacterial SSU rRNA
Rfam family: Bacterial small subunit ribosomal RNA
Source: RNAcentral